AUUGAACGCUGGCGGCAGGCCUAACACAUGCAAGUCGAACGGUAGCAGGAAGAAGCUUGCUUCUUUGCUGACGAGUGGCGGACGGGUGAGUAAUGUCUGGGAAACUGCCUGAUGGAGGGGGAUAACUACUGGAAACGGUAGCUAAUACCGCAUAACGUCGCAAGACCAAAGAGGGGGACCUUCGGGCCUCUUGCCAUCGGAUGUGCCCAGAUGGGAUUAGCUAGUAGGUGGGGUAACGGCUCACCUAGGCGACGAACCCUAGCUGGUCUGAGAAGAUGAACAGCGACACUGGAUCUGAGACACUGUACUGACUCCUACGGGAUGGUGAGGUGAGAUAUAUUGCACAAGGUGCGCAAGCCUGAUGCAGCCCUGCCGCGUGUAUGAUGAAGGCCUUCGGGUUGUAAAGUACUUACAGCGGGGAGGAGGGGAGUAAAAUAAAUACCUUUUCUCAUUGACGUUACCCGCAGAAGGAGCACCGGCUAGCUCCGUG
Molecule: ribosomal RNA, 490 nt
Filed under: uncultured bacterium
Lineage: Bacteria
Description: partial 16S ribosomal RNA
Rfam family: Bacterial small subunit ribosomal RNA
Source: RNAcentral